This 492-nucleotide ribosomal RNA is filed under the name uncultured microorganism. RNAcentral's name for it is "bacterial SSU rRNA". It matches the Rfam family "Bacterial small subunit ribosomal RNA", at positions 9 to 483 of the family's 1533-position model. The record is from RNAcentral.
GAGUUUGAUCGUGGCUCAGGAUGAACGCUGGCGGCGUGCCUAAUACAUGCAAGUCGAGCGAACAGACGAGGAGCUUGCUCCUCUGACGUUAGCGGCGGACGGGUGAGUAACACGUGGAUAACCUACCUAUAAGACUGGGACAACUUCGGGAAACCGGAGCUAAUACCGGAUAAUAUAUUGAACCGCAUGGUUCAAUAGUGAAAGACGGUUUUGCUGUCACUUAUAGAUGGAUCCGCGCCGCAUUAGCUAGUUGGUAAAGUAACGGCUUACCAAGGCAACGAUGCGUAGCCGACCUGAGAGGGUGAUCGGCCACACUGGAACUGAGACACGGUCCAGACUCCUACGGGAGGCAGCAGUAGGGAAUCUUCCGCAAUGGGCGAAAGCCUGACGGAGCAACGCCGCGUGAGUGAUGAAGGUCUUCGGAUCGUAAAACUCUGUUAUUAGGGAAGAACAAAUGUGUAAGUAACUAUGCACGUCUUGACGGUACCUAAU